GACGAACGCUGGCGGCGUGCCUCAAACAUGCAAGUCGAGCGUGGAUACGUUGCUUCGCAAGAGGUGACGUGUUCUAGCGGCGGACGGGUGCGUAACACGUGGGGAACCAACCCUCCAGACGGGGACAACCUCGGGAAACCGGGGCUAAUACCGGAUACGUUCGCCGGGUCGCAUGGCCUGGCGAGGAAAGGAUCGCAAGAUCGCUGGAGGACGGUCCCGCGGCCUAUCAGCUAGUUGGUGAGGUAACGGCCCACCAAGGCGAUGACGGGUAGCUGGCCUGAGAGGGUGGUCAGCCACACUGGAACUGAGACACGGUCCAGACUCCUACGGGAGGCAGCAGUUGGGAAUCUUGGGCAAUGGGCGCAAGCCUGACCCAGCGACGCCGCGUGGGGGAUGAAGGCCUUCGGGUUGUAAACCCCUGUCAGGAGGGACGAAGCCGCAAGGUGACGGUACCUCCAGAGGAAGCCCCGGCUAACUACGUGC
RNAcentral lists this ribosomal RNA (483 nucleotides) under uncultured bacterium. Its description in RNAcentral is "bacterial SSU rRNA". It matches the Rfam family "Bacterial small subunit ribosomal RNA", at positions 28 to 508 of the family's 1533-position model. The record is from RNAcentral.